This 712-nucleotide long non-coding RNA is filed under the name Heterocephalus glaber (naked mole-rat). RNAcentral's name for it is "lncRNA (ENSHGLG00000046159.1)". The record is from RNAcentral. Lineage: Eukaryota; Metazoa; Chordata; Mammalia; Rodentia; Bathyergidae.
CUGCCCCUGCCCAGAGGAAGAGAGUAACAUGAAUACAAGUCGAAGCAUGGGCUGCGUUUCCAUCUUUCCCCUGCACAUGUAGACUCCUUAACAGAAAUAUGCCCUCAAGGAAUGACCAAAAGGGGAGGAGAAUGAUCCACAGACGACAGCAGCAUGCAGACCAGGAUUCCUAGAGGAAGCAAGGCCCUAAAGAUCAAACCCUGCAUAGAUGUUAGCUACCAUGAUAACGUCAUUGAUGGAAGACAGGAAAGAGAAUGGAAAGAAAUGAAGACCUGGAAAGAAGGGUCCCACUUAAGGAAAGCCAGAGAUUCCACAAGGCUUAUUGGACACGUGUACUCAGAAGAGCACUGGAAAUCCUUAGACCUGUUCUUCAGACCUUAAAGCAAGUCUCCCAGUACAACACAAGUGAAGAUAAUUCAUAAAAGCACUGUUUUCAGAGUUUGAGGGACAAGGAGAAAAAGCAUUGAGGGCAUGGUACUAAAUCUUGCCAAGAGCUUUCAAACUCAUUACCAAGUCUCAUCAUCAGAAAAACAUUUGACAGAGUCCAGCAGAUGGGGUGUCCUACAGAAUGCCCGACAGCGCUCUUCCCAGCUACCAAGGUCAUCAAAACAGAGGGCUGAGAAGCUGUCACAGCCCAGAGGUGCCUCAGGGGACAUGACACAUGCAAUGUGAGCAUUGGGUGGGAUCUCGGACAGAACAAAGGAAAUCAGAG